UACAGAGGGGGCAAGCGUUGUUCGGAAUUACUGGGCGUAAAGGGCGCGUAGGCGGCCCGCUAAGUCGAACGUGAAAUCCCCGAGCUCAACUCGGGAACUGCGUCCGAUACUGGUGGGCUUGAAUCCGGGAGAGGGAUGCGGAAUUCCAGGUGUAGCGGUGAAAUGCGUAGAUAUCUGGAGGAACACCGGUGGCGAAGGCGGCAUCCUGGACCGAGAUUGACGCUGAGGCGCGAAAGCCAGGGGAGCAAACGGG
RNAcentral lists this ribosomal RNA (253 nucleotides) under uncultured bacterium. Its description in RNAcentral is "partial 16S ribosomal RNA". It matches the Rfam family "Bacterial small subunit ribosomal RNA", at positions 524 to 776 of the family's 1533-position model. The record is from RNAcentral.